ACGGAAGGCAGCAGUGAGGAAUAUUGGUCAAUGGACGAGAGUCUGAACCAGCCAAGUAGCGUGCAGGAUGACGGCCCUAUGGGUUGUAAACUGCUUUUGUACGGGAAUAAAGUGACCUACGUGUAGGUUUUUGCAUGUACCGUAAGAAUAAGGACCGGCUAAUUCCGUGCCAGCAGCCGCGGUAAUACGGAAGGUCCGGGCGUUAUCCGGAUUUAUUGGGUUUAAAGGGAGCGUAGGCCGUGCUUUAAGCGUGUUGUGAAAUGUAGGCGCCCAACGUCUGCACUGCAGCGCGAACUGGAGCACUUGAGUACGCAGGAAGUAGGCGGAAUUCGUCGUGUAGCGGUGAAAUGCUUAGAUAUGACGAAGAACUCCGAUUGCGUAGGCAGCUUACCAGGCCGGCAAUGACGCUCAUGCACGAAAGUGCGGGGAUCGAACAGGAUUAGAUACCCUGGUA
This 454-nucleotide ribosomal RNA is filed under the name uncultured Prevotella sp. RNAcentral's name for it is "partial 16S ribosomal RNA". It matches the Rfam family "Bacterial small subunit ribosomal RNA", at positions 341 to 792 of the family's 1533-position model. The record is from RNAcentral. Lineage: Bacteria; Pseudomonadati; Bacteroidota; Bacteroidia; Bacteroidales; Prevotellaceae.